This 766-nucleotide long non-coding RNA is filed under the name Panax ginseng (ginseng). Its description in RNAcentral is "long non-coding RNA (PGIN_LNC001026)". The record is from RNAcentral. Lineage: Eukaryota; Viridiplantae; Streptophyta; Magnoliopsida; Apiales; Araliaceae.
CCCGGUCUAGCCUGUGAAACCUAACAACUCCAUUACUUGAGUAAUUCUAGGGGGACCGGAGUUUAGGGACAUUUCUAGUGACCGGCUGAUGUGGCACAGCCACAUCAGCAUGAGAGAGAAAGUGAAAAAAAAAGUCAAUUACCCAGAACAGAGGAAGCCUCUUCUCACUUUGCCAAACAGCUAUGUAUCUCUAGCAUCAAUAUUAUUGUAGUCCAGGACACAACAUUUCUUUCAGACAUUUUAUCAAACAGUUCUCGAGCAUCAUGUAAUAGAUUUAACUUUAAAAAGUAUUUCUUUUCUUGUUUUGAUUUAACAGAAACGAAAGACAAUAAAAAAAACAUAAUUAGCAACAAAAAAAUUAAUAAAAAAAAACACACAGAAAACAUAAAUGAGUGCUUUUCUAUUUUCUGAAACAAUGGAAGUAGAUAGAUCAAAUUAAUUGUACAGCUGAACCAAAUUAAGACAUCUACCUUCCUCUCCCAAUUAAGUAAUCCCUUCCUUUACAAUUCUCAAAGAGUUUGCACAAAAAUUUUACCCAAAAUAAGAGUUUGCACAAAUUUUAGGGUUUUGGGAAUUUAACGGUAUGAGAGUAGUAGGAGGAGGAUACGAAAUGGGAAGAGUGUUAUUUUUGGAGAAAACUUGUUCAGUGAAGCAGGAGUUCUUGUUCAGCUAAGCAGAAGUUCUUGUUCAGUGAUGUUGGAGUUCAAUUUGGCAUCUGGCAUGAGAGAGGAAGAAAGAUAAUAUUGAUGCUAGAGAUACAUAGCUG